GGUCUUGUAGCUCAGUUGGUAGAGCAGCUGACUCUUAAUCAGCGGGUCCAGGGUCCGAGUCCCUGCGGGACCA
This 73-nucleotide transfer RNA is filed under the name Sediminibacterium roseum. RNAcentral describes it as "tRNA-Lys". It matches the Rfam family "tRNA". Rfam says of the family: Transfer RNA (tRNA) molecules are approximately 80 nucleotides in length. Lineage: Bacteria; Pseudomonadati; Bacteroidota; Chitinophagia; Chitinophagales; Chitinophagaceae. The record is from RNAcentral.